GGAAGCAGAACUCGAGUGGUUGAGUAUCUCCCUUUUAAGGAGAGAGUCUUGGUUCAAGUCCAAGUGCUUUCA
Molecule: non-coding RNA, 72 nt
Organism: Sparassis crispa
Lineage: Eukaryota; Fungi; Basidiomycota; Agaricomycetes; Polyporales; Sparassidaceae
Source: the annotation of a RefSeq genome assembly